AUGUCUGGCCCAUACGUGCUCCAAACUGCUGGUCUCCUGAGUUGUUCAAGCUACAGCUCUAAGCUCUCCCCUAACCAACUCUUCCUAAGUGGAGACCAGAGCACCCACCAUCUCCCUGAUGGAACAGUCCCCUUUCUGUCCCAGACCCCCAACACCACUGAAGUUUCCACACUCAGGCCAGAGGCCGCCUCCAGGAAGCCUUCUCUGAGGGAACCCAGAACUGGCGAGGACCAGCACACCUGCCACACCACUCACGGGGGCUGGCUCAGCUCUGAAGGAGAGGCUGCUGGCAACUGCAACAUGGGAAGGAGAGCUGGACAGAGAGGAGGACUUCCAGGGAGCCGAGACCCGGAGUCCAGGCACCUGGCACACAGGAGGAGUCCGGGGCAGGGCCAGGACCAACCCCCUCCCCAGACUGCUUGCCCCGGCCACACAUCUGUGCAAACACCCCUCCCCUCAGCUUGCCAGAGACAGACAGACAGGAGGAUGGCAAGGAGAGGGACUCCUCCAGGCUCUCGCAGGCUCCAGUGGGGGUGGCAGGAGCCUCAAGAUUUUCUUAUCUGUAGAGCAAGACAGAAAUUUCAAAGGAAUGGAAGAAUAAUAUAAUAAAACUAAGGGUUAUUAACAACUAUUAUUAUUAAUGAUUAUUCUUUAUUAUUGAGCUGUUACUAUGUGCUAAGAUAAUAUUAAGCCUUUUGUUAUUAACUCUUCUUCUUUAUUUUUUUUUUAGACAGGGUCUCACUAUGUAGUUCAGGCUGACCUUUAACUCAC
This 771-nucleotide long non-coding RNA is filed under the name Fukomys damarensis (Damara mole-rat). Its description in RNAcentral is "lncRNA (ENSFDAG00000030287.1)". The record is from RNAcentral. Lineage: Eukaryota; Metazoa; Chordata; Mammalia; Rodentia; Bathyergidae.